GAUGAACGCUGGCGGCGUGCCUAAUACAUGCAAGUCGAGCGAACAGACGAGUAGCUUGCUGCUCUGAGGUUAGCGGCGGACAGGUGAGUAACACGUGGAUAACCUACCUCUAAGACUUGGAUAACUUCGGGAAACCGGAGCUACUACCGGAUAAUAUUUUGAACCGCAUGGUUCAAGAGUGUAAGACGGUUUUGCUGUCACUUAUAGAUGGAUCCGCGCCGCAUUAGCUAGUUGGUAAGGUAAGGGCUUACCAAGGCGACGAUGCGUAGCCGACCUGAGAGGGGGUUGGCCACCACAGUAGCAGUGAGACGCGCCCGAGUCUUACGGGGGCAGCAGGAGGGGAGAAUACGGCACAGGGGGAAAGCGUAUGGUGCAACGGCGCCGUGGGGGAGAUGGUCCUCUGCGUGGUAAAACCCUGUUUUUGGGGAGAAACAAAGGUGCAUGAAUUGUGGGAGGGCUGACGGUAGCUAAAUAAGAAGCCCCGGCUAACUACGUG
RNAcentral lists this ribosomal RNA (496 nucleotides) under uncultured bacterium. RNAcentral describes it as "partial 16S ribosomal RNA". It matches the Rfam family "Bacterial small subunit ribosomal RNA", at positions 28 to 507 of the family's 1533-position model. The record is from RNAcentral.